Molecule: ribosomal RNA, 484 nt
Filed under: uncultured bacterium
Lineage: Bacteria
Description: partial 16S ribosomal RNA
Rfam family: Bacterial small subunit ribosomal RNA
Source: RNAcentral
AUUGAACGCUGGCGGCAUGCCUAACACAUGCAAGUCGAACGGCAGCGCGGUCUUCGCUUGCUCUGCGGGGGGCCGACUGGCGGGUAAUUGAGCGGUACGUCCGCAUCAGCUUUGGAGAGGGGGGCGAAAUCCGGAUUAAUACCGCAAACGAGCAUAGGGCGUAAGCGUGGAAGCGGAAGACCUUGCGCUAUUGGAGGGUCGGAUGUCGGAUUAGCUAGUUGGUGGGGUAAAGGCGUACCAAGGCGACGAUCCGUAGCUGGUCUGAGAGGAUGACCAGCCACACUGGGACUGAGACACGGUCCAGACUCCUACGGGAGGCAGCAGUGGGGAAUUUUGGACAAUGGGCGCAAGCCUGAUCCAGCCAUGCCGCGUGCGGGAAGAAGGCCUUCGGGUUGUAAAGCCCUUUUGUUCGGAAAGAAAUGCACCAGGCUAAUACCCCGCGGGGCUGACGGUACCCAAAGAAUAAGCACCGGCUAACUACGUG